AUGGAGCCUCGCAUGGAGUCCUGCCUGGCGCAGGUGUUGCAGAAGGAUGUGGGGAAACGAUUGCAGGUUGGCCAAGAACUGAUAGACUAUUUCUCAGACAAACAGAAGUCUGCUGACCUUGAGCAUGACCAGACCAUGUUAGAUAAACUUGUGGAUGGACUUGCUACCUCUUGGGUGAACUCUAGCAAUUACAAGGUAAGCUGUGCUUUAGAAGG
This 215-nucleotide long non-coding RNA is filed under the name Homo sapiens (human). Its description in RNAcentral is "non-protein coding lnc-NIFK-9:1". Lineage: Eukaryota; Metazoa; Chordata; Mammalia; Primates; Hominidae. The record is from RNAcentral.